This is a non-coding RNA of Acanthosepion pharaonis, 101 nucleotides long. Lineage: Eukaryota; Metazoa; Mollusca; Cephalopoda; Sepiida; Sepiidae. The record is from the annotation of a GenBank genome assembly.
ACGACCAUAUAACAUCGAAACACCGAUCACUGAAGUUAAGCAACGUCGGGCCUGUUCAGUAUCUAGAUGGGUAGCCGCUUGGGAAUACUAGGUGCUGUAAG